CGAGAAAGUAAUGCAAGAACUGCUAAUUCAUGCCACCACGCUUAAUAACGUGGCUUUCUU
RNAcentral lists this transfer RNA (60 nucleotides) under Uropsilus aequodonenia. RNAcentral's name for it is "tRNA-Ser". The record is from RNAcentral. Lineage: Eukaryota; Metazoa; Chordata; Mammalia; Eulipotyphla; Talpidae.